Molecule: ribosomal RNA, 484 nt
Filed under: uncultured bacterium
Lineage: Bacteria
Description: partial 16S ribosomal RNA
Rfam family: Bacterial small subunit ribosomal RNA
Source: RNAcentral
AUUGAACGCUGGCGGAAGGCUUUACACAUGCAAGUCGAGCGGCAGCACGGGGGCAACCCGGUUCGCGGGCGGCCAACGGGUGAGUAAUACAGCAGAACAUGUCCAAUCGGCGUGUAUAACACGGCUAAAGAAGUGCUAAUACCGCAUACGUCCUGAGGGGGAAAGCGGGGGAUCGCAAGACCUCGCGCGGUUGUAGUGGCCGAGGGCAGAGUAGGUAGUUGGUGGGGUAAAGGCCGACCAAGGCAACGAUCUGUAGCUGGUCUGAUAGGAUGAUCAGCCACACUACAUCUGAACCACGGCCCAGACUCCUACGGGACGCAGCAGUGCGGAGUUUUAGACUAUGGGGGCAGCCCUGGCCCAGCCCUGCCGAGUGAGUGAAGGAGGCCUUGGGCUUGUAAAGCUCUUCCGGCAGGAACGAAACGGUGAGCUCUAACAUAGCCUGUUAAUGACGGUACCUGAAGAAGAAGCACCGGCUAACUACGUG